This 426-nucleotide ribosomal RNA is filed under the name uncultured bacterium. RNAcentral's name for it is "bacterial SSU rRNA". It matches the Rfam family "Bacterial small subunit ribosomal RNA", at positions 506 to 930 of the family's 1533-position model. The record is from RNAcentral.
AGCCAGCAGCCGCGGUAAUACAGAGGGUGCGAGCGUUGUCCGGAAUCACUGGGCGUAAAGGGCGCGUAGGCGGCUGGCUAAGCGGGUGGUGAAAGCCCGGGGCUCAACCCCGGGUCGGCCAUGCGAACUGGUCAGCUGGAGCACGGUAGAGGCACAUGGAAUUCCGGGUGUAGCGGUGGAAUGCGUAGAGAUCCGGAAGAACACCGGUGGCGAAGGCGGUGUGCUGGGCCGUAGCUGACGCUGAGGCGCGACAGCGUGGGGAGCAAACAGGAUUAGAUACCCUGGUAGUCCACGCCGUAAACGAUGGGCACUAGGUCCUUGGGGGAGCGACCCCGUGAGGGCCGGCGCUAACGCAUUAAGUGCCCCGCCUGGGGAGUACGGCCGCAAGGCUGAAACUCAAAGGAAUUGACGGGGGCCCGCACAAGG